This 10174-nucleotide long non-coding RNA is filed under the name Gossypium barbadense (sea-island cotton). RNAcentral's name for it is "long non-coding RNA (GBAR_LNC006627)". The record is from RNAcentral. Lineage: Eukaryota; Viridiplantae; Streptophyta; Magnoliopsida; Malvales; Malvaceae.
UUGAACUCUUAGGGUUUCAGGGUAGACAUGGCCAUGUAUGGGGGUCGUGUGGUUCGCCGAAAAAAGCCAGUUUUAUUAGAAAAAAGAAACUAUAGUUCAAUUAUGUUCAGGAAAAAGGAUUAAAUAGUUAGACUUUCCAAAUUUUAAAGGGUUGAUUGGGUAAUUAUUCCUUCUUGCCGAAAAAGAAAAUAGGAAAGAAAAGUGACGUGACUUAAGCCUAAGUUACAAGGGAAGAAUGGGGAGAUGCUUAACCAAUUGAAUUACUACCCACGCUUAUUUAUUUUUACAGUAAAUAAUAUAUAUUCUAGUACGAUUUUGCUGCUUAGUUGCUGAAAAAAAAAAAAAAGGAACUAGCAUAGCUUGAACCUUGGGUUUUUAAGCAAACACACUAACUACAUAACCAUAAAGACUAACCCAUUUCUUAAUAAUUUAUUUUAUCAAUUAUAUUUACUUAUAUAUAUUUAAAAAUUAUGAAUUUUGAUAUUUUUUAGAAACAUUUUAAGUGCAAAUUUUGUAGUGGAUUAAACCCUAAAAUAACUUAACCCUAAUUAGUGUCAAGAUUCACCCGAAAACAACACACUUUAAUAAAUAAUAAUAAAAAAGUUAUAAUUGAUAAAUGCUUAUGCGGAUAGUCUGCCCAUAAAUUAUGACUUUUUUAUCUUAUAUUUGCUACUUAAUUAAUUUUUUGAUUAAGAUUAAUAAUUAAUUUUUUUCUAUCUUGGUAUCUCUAUUAGUCAACUCUUAGUUAAUGAUGGUGAACAAUAAUAUAGCUCCAUCGCAUGAUGACAUGAGGCAUAAAACUACAUAAGCACUGCCGUGUAAUUAUUUAUACCAUAUAAUUCUUAAAAAAUCAAAAUAACUAGAAAGAGAAAAUUAGAAAUUUAAAAUUAAAAAAUUAAAAUUAUAUAAAAAUUUAUUUUUUUAAUUUUAAAAUAUAAAAUUAUAUAAAAUAAAAAUAUAUAAAUUUUACUUAAUAUUUUAUUUUACUUAUAAAUUUUCUAAUUUUAAAAAAUUUUAUUUUGAAUAUUAUACAUUUUCCAUUUUGAAUAUUUUUAUGUAAUUUUUAAUUUUUUUAUAUUUUAUAAAUAUAUAUAUAUAUGAAAUUGUUUGAUAUAAAUAAUUAUGCUUAUGCGGCCUUUUCCUGUCAUGCAACAAUUUUUAAUUAGUUGAAUGUUUAACAAUCUAACAAUUAGAAUAAUUUAGAUAACCAAAAAAAUUGGCACUAAAAUAGAAAAUACGGCAAAAUUAAUUGCUAAAGUAAUAUAUUGUAGGGAAAUGAUUAAAUUAAUCUCUUUAUUAUUAAAAAUAUUAUUCUAAUCAGUAUUGAAAAGAAUAAAAUAAUAUCAAUGGUGUGUUUGUUUCACGGAAAAUGACUUACAUGAAAUAUUUUCUACAUUUUCCUGUAGUUUGUUUUUCAUUGAAAACAAUUUGGUUAAUGAGAAAUGACUUAAAAAUUAAUGGAAAAUAAAUCCUUUUUUCAUGUAAAUUAACUUAUCAUUUUAAAAAGUAUAAGUCAUUUUCUAAAAAUUAAUUUGAAUCAAGUCUAAUAUUAUUAUAUUAAUAAUAAUUUUUUAUUUUCUAAAACUAUUUAAAUAAAUUAAAAUAUUAAUAUCAAAUAUUAUAAUGAUUAUUAUUAAACAUACAUAUUUAAUUAUUUAUAUUUAAUAAUAUAAUAAAUUAUUGAUAUAAUUUAUUAUUUAAUUAUAUUAUUCAAUAUUACAAAUUUCUUUUAAUAAUGAAUUUUAACCAUAAUAAUUUUAAAUUUUAAAUAAUAUUAUUAAUAUAUUUUUGGAAACUAUUUAUUUUAAUAUUUUAAGGCUUAAUGGUAUUAUAAACCUUCAAAAUUUUUCACAAAAAUCGUUUAAGCUCCUCCAAACUUUGUGCUCCCAAUCGAACCCUAAACUAACAAAACUAGCCUAAUGGAUUAUUUUACUAAUGUUGAUUGUUAGCAUUUAACAGUGGGAUUGAUGUGGCUUUUAACAGUGCCAACUUAGCCAAAUGUUGUUGACGUGGUAUGCCACUAUGUUGGCAAAAUAUAAAAUAAAAUAUUUAUUUUUUAUUUUCUUUUAGUUAAUGUCUUUAAUAUUUUUAUUUACUUUUUAUAUAUUUUUCUCCUCACUUUUCCUCAUCAUCUUCUUUUCUCCCCAAAUGAAACCCUAGUCGCCUUGCACUGUCGUCGUAGUCAGUGCUCCAUUCAUGCCGCCAAUACCAUUGUAAUAAGCUCCACCGUCUUAUCUUCACUUCUCUCGGGUUAAAUUUUUGCAAACCCAAACCAAGCCUUCGAAAACUCCAACAAAUGCUUGAAGCAAACAACCCCAAUUCGCCACUAUCUGCUGUUACUUCGGCCUCAUUCUCUGGUAUGUUGCUCCCCUCUACCUCUUCAGACUCCCCUUGUUCGAAUCUUCAAGAGGUGAACUUGAACCUUGAAAAUCAAGGAGCCCAAAGAUAAGCUUCUUCUCUCUUUUUCUAUUUUAUUUUCUGAUUUGGGUUGAUUUUUUUUAGAUUCCAACUAAAGGCUCUAAACUUCUCCUCUCUUUUUGUUGUGGUUUAUUGUUGUUAAUGGGUAACGAAUGGAAAUAGAUUGCUUGCAUAUAUAAUUCUAAGUUUGUUUUUUUUUCCUUUUCUAAUUUCAAUUCCAAAGAAUUUUCAUUUGAGAAAUCUUGAGGGUAUCUGAUUAUUGUAAAUAUAAGAAACCAAGUACUACAAAGGAAUCUUGUAUAUUUGUAGUCAUUUAGAUUGAGAUUUUUGUAUAGAUUUAGGGAUAUGUCUAAAGUAGAGAUAUUGGAGAUGACUAGUUUUCAAGAGAAAUUGGAGAUAGAAAAAUUGAUCGAACAAUGGAUCUAAGGGAGAAGAAGAAGAUGAUGAUGAUGAAUGAAGUCAUAGAAAUCUAGCGGAGAAGAAUUAUAAUGGCCUAAUUUUCAGUGGUACAAAAAAUGCAGUUUCGGAACCCCAUUUACUUAAAUUGAGCCUGUGUAUAUAAAAUAGAAAUAUUUAUGGAGUUAAUAUGAGAAUAUACUAAAGAAUGGUCAAGUAAUUUGGCCGAUAAGUCGUUAAUUAAAAAUUAGGAACUAAAUUGUAAAAUUUCAAUCACUAUCGAGUUUUAAUUAAAAAAGGCUUGAGAACCUAGAUUACAAUUAACCAAAGGGUCAAAAUGGUUAUUAAACCGUUUCCAUUACGAGAUAGUGGACAUUGAUGAUGUUUUCCACUUAGAUUAUUUAAUAAUAAAAUUAACAUUAUUAAGGUUUAGUUAAGUUAAUUAAAUUAGAUUAAUCAGAUCUUAAUUAAUACAUAUGUGUGUUGGUUUGUGAAAGGAAAGAUGAAAACAUUAUCAUCUUCUCCAUUUGCCACUGUCCUCCAUUGAAGAAAAAGGGAGAAAACCUUAAGCUUAAGCUAAACAUUCAACCACCACAUUGGUAAGAAAACUAAGCCUUUUUCAUGUAAUUUUUAUAGAUUUAUGAUCAUGAGAGCUUGAUUUAGCUAACCUAUGUAUCAAUUUUUUCAAUUGUUAAGUUUUUAGCAAGUUAUCAUUAUUGAUAAAUUGAUGAAUUAGGCUUGAAUUUGAUAAUUAUUAAGCUUAGAUCAUGAUAGGGACUAAAUUUUAAAAUUAAAUAAACUAGUUUGUUAGCUCCAUAACAUUAGGGACUAAAUUGAAUAAAUAAAAAACUUGUCAUAAAUUUAUGAUAGAAAUAUAAAGUAUAAAGUCCCUAAUGAAAGAAUAUAAAAUCGGAUUUUGAUCCAAAGUUAGGAAUCGAAAAAUAUGAUUAUCUCGAGUUUAGGGAAUAAAUUGAAUAAAAAGAAAAAUAUGUGUAUUUAAAAAGGGAUUAAUUAGGAUCAUGCAUCUAAAGGCGUUGUUGUUGUGAGUCAUUGAAAAGUCAUUGUGUGUUAAUAUAUGAUAUUGAUUUGAUAUUUAUAUAUAUUUGCAUAGAACAAGAAUUGGAUAAAAGUGGAGCAUGUAGAGGAAAGGCUAAAAUUGUGGAAUAGUCCUUCGAAAAUCUACUCAUUUUGUGUUUUGAAAGGUAAGUUCUUAUAGAACUUACUACCCUUCCUUAUUAAAUAGGUAUGGUUGCGUUUAUUUUCAUUUAUUAUUUAUAUUUGAACUUAUGUUAAGGUUUUGGUGGAAAUUGGCAUAGUUGGCUAGUAACAUAAAUGAAUUAAGUUGAAUUGUGAUAAGUGAAUGAUGUUAUAUUUAGUGGUUGGUAACUAGAAGAAUGACAAGAGAACUUAAAUGCAUCAUUAAUUGUAUGUGUGAUUCAUGUUCAAACUUGAUCAAUGAAUUCGGAAAUUGAUAUGGGAUGUUUACAACUUAUGUUUAUGCAAAUAUGGAUAAUUGAUGCUCAUGUGAACUUAGUAAAAGGCUAGGAUACAAUUUUCAUUUCAAUAGGGUCAUAUGUGCUUGUGUACGAGUUACUUGACAAUAUGAAGAAUAUGAUAUUUAUUUUGAGAUUCAGCAUUUGUUGCGGGUAAUCGAAUAUUCACUAUCUCUUCAGAGACCUUGGUGUGGUGGAGGGAUGUAUUUGAAUACAUAUAUACAUUUGAUGCCUACAGGCUUUGCACUCUAGUGCUUUGGUGUAGUGUAGUUCACUCGCGUGUCCGAGUCUGUUUUACUACAGUUCCAUUGGGCGAAAUGUUAAAACUGAACUUUGAAAUAGGAAAAUGAAAAUGAACCGGAUUUAAUAAUUUAUUAAGAUAUGUGGUUAAAAUUUUAUUCGCAUUGACUAAUAGAUUAAUGCAAGUACAUGAAAUGAUGAUGAUCUUAUAUGAUUUGGUAUAGUUUGAUGAUUGUUUUGGUCAUGUUAUAAUGUUUGACAUAUAUGAAUACUUAUGUUUCCUAUGUUCACUUUGUUGUGACAAUAUAUGCCAUGUUCUAGCUAGAUGUAUGCCAAAUCUUUUGGUAUUGAACAUGCUCACCUAUGAUCAAGGCACGUGUUUUAAAAUCCAUUCGAACUUACUAAUCAAUAAAUGCUUACCUAUUGUUGUUUUCCUUACGUGUAGAUCCCUAAAUUGUGGAACUCUCAAAGUCGGAUCAGUGCGAGUAUCACAUUAUCAUCAAGUCGGGAAAAGUAUGUUCAUUUUGGAACCUAUAAUUGUGGCAUGUAUAUAGGGUCCCUUGUUAUUUAAAUGGUUGUCUAUAAUGUAAAUGCUAAUGGUUGGAUUUGUGUAUUAAGGUUGGGAAAUAGCCUAGUUAUGCCUAGUCUUUUAUCAUGAGUUUUGUGCCAUUUGAACACUUGAUUUCAAAAGUUUCAUAAGCUUUAUUUGGCAUAGGUUGGCAUGAUAUGAUGUCUUGAUGAAUGUGGAAUGAGCAUAUAUAUAUUGAAAUGUUUUUGGUAGGAAGUAUUGAAUAUGUUUCAAAGUGAUUUUUACCAAAACAAAGGGUAAUGUUGUGAUGACAAGUUCCCAACGUCACGACUUAAAUCAACAGUAAGUGACGUCACAACCUUGAGUUUUCUAAAGUUUCGACUAAACUCAUUCAUUGAUGAGGUAGCCAUGGUGUCGCGAUGUCAGCUCAUGUGUAACAGCCCAAUUUAGACCCUAGUCGGAACGGUGGUUUCGGGAUCACGAAUUCGAGUUAGAAAAAUAUUUUAAAAUUAUUUUCUGUGUUUAUUUUGUGUGAAUUUAUAUCUGUGAAAUUUUCGUGAUUUAAUUUUAUCGUUUGAGUGCCUGAUUAAAUAAAAGGACUUAGUUGCGUAAAAUAAAAAUUUAAUGGUUAUUUGUAUAAAGGGCCGAAAUGCUAUUGGCUUUUUAAAUGGAAGCCUUUAAGUUGCAAUUAGACCAUAGUUGCAUGUGAUGGACGGUAAUGACCUUAGAAAUAUGUGUUAUGUUUAUUUAUUUUUAAAGGGUAAAGUUGUAAAAUGGUUAAAAACAUAUGUAAUAAUAAAACAUAAAGAAAUUAUAAUAUGGCUUCAUAAUUUUGUUCAUCCACUGAAACUAAAACAAAAGAAAAGAGAAAAGAAGGUUAGGGUUGAUGGACGGUAAUGACCUUAGAAAUAUGUGUUAUGUUUAUUUAUUUUUAAAGGGUAAAGUUGUAAAAUGGUUAAAAACAUAUGUAAUAAUAAAACAUAAAGAAAUUAUAAUAUGGCUUCAUAAUUUUGUUCAUCCACUGAAACUAAAACAAAAGAAAAGAGAAAAGAAGGUUAGGGUUUGGCACUUACUCAAGCUCAAUCAAGGUUCGUUUUUGUUUGGUUUUUGAUAAUUUUUACGUUUUUGAGAUCGUUGCUUCGAGUACUAUAAAAUCCAUGCUUGAAUUUUUUAUUUUGGUGAAUAUUUUGAGUUAUGUCAUUGUUGAGAGCUUGUGAUUUUUGUUGUUUGAUUAUGAAAUAUGAAAAAUAUGUUUUAGAUUAACAUGUUUUGUAUUAGAGUUUUUGAUGAUUUUGAGUAAUUAGGACUAAAUUGCAAAAAUAACAAUUUGAGGGACUAAAAUGUGAAACAAACGAAAUAUAUGGAUUUGUAUGGGUAUGGGUAAAAUUCGGCCCAACAUGGGUAUAUUGAAAUUUUGUAUAUUUUGUGUUUUGUGCAAUAGGGACUAAAUUGUAAAAAGUGUAAAUGUCAGGGGUAAAAUGGUAAUUUGUCCAUUUAUGUGUUUUUGGACUAAAUUGAAUGAAAAUAUGUUUGAAUGAGCUUAAUUUGAUUAUGUUUAGAUCAAGAACCAAAUAAAUCGGAUUUGGAUCGGGGGAAAGCGAAAGUUAUCAACUAGCUGUUCCAUUCCGUUAUACAUAGCCCGAGGUAAGUUUAUAAGCAAAUAGCCGUACUCAAUUUUAAAUAAAUGCAAAGUAUAUAUGCUGAAUUUAUAUGUAUGAAUUAUUAUAUGCUAUAGCCGAAUGUGAAUAAGCUUGAUUACUAUGUUUCUGAAUUCGUUUCGACUGAAUUACAACGUCCGAAAGCCCCGUAUGAACCUUAGGAAUAGUUAGGAUACAUAUGUCAUGACAUAGGAUUCCGAUUUAUGUAUGCGAGUGAGACCAUGGCAUCGAUAUGUGAUUCUGAUAUAUGUGUGCGAGUAAAACCCUGUCUGGGACAGUAGCAUCGAUAUGUGAUUACAUGUAAGACCACGUCUGGGACGUUGGCAUUGUACGAUUUAUGUGUGAUCAUUUGAGUGUCCUAUCCAAUUCCGAAUGGUUCAUCGAGCAAAGACAAGUUGUGUUUGAAUGUGUAAGAUAAGCUAAAUGGCCAGGUAUGAAUUUGCUUGUUGUUUAUUUAAAAUAAGGUAAGUGGGUAAUUUGGUACUUAUUUCAAAUUAUGCAUAAUGCAAUUAAAGGUUACAUGUGAAUUUGGUAAGUGUACUUGGCCUUUUGAAUAGGAUUAAAAUGAGUUUAAAUUAUACCUAUGUAUGAAUACAUGUAUUCUGCAAAUAACUAAAAUGCAUAUAAAAUUAUAUGAUGACACAUGAGUUUGUGUAUUUGUGUGUAUGUGAACUAGGUUGAUAUUAAUUAUUUGGCUUUGGAAUUUAAUUGAUAAUAUGUUAACAUGGCUAUAUAAGCAUUCGGUUAAAGUGACAAAUAUGAAUGAAGAUAUAUAUAAUAUAGAUUUUAUAUGUUCAAAUAUAAAUGUUUUAUAAUAAUGUGCUUUGGCUUAGUUUAAUUAAAUUGAUGAUAUUUUUGGGUUGUUCAUCUGCUUAUGACUUACUAAGCUAUAAAUAGUUUACUUUAUGUAUAUGUGUGUUUCUAUUUUAUAGAUUUUGGAGUCAAGCUACGAGCUCGGGGACUGUCAGCAAAGUUUCAUCACACUAUCAACUAUAUUGGUACCUUCAUAAGUUAAACUCGGAUUAUGGCAUGUAUAGGCUGAACUAUGCUUGAGAUGUUGAAUUUUUGUUGUGAAUAAUUAAAGCCAUGCGAAAAUGGCUUACUUCUAAGUUUAGUUUUUGAUUAUGUUCGAUUAUGGUUUAAAUUGUUUUUGGUGAUGAUGCUAUGAGUUAUGAAUGAAUGGCAUAGGUGAUAAAUGUUAUACAUUAUGGAAAUGGUUGGAUAGUGACGUGAGUUAGGGUAUUACAGUUGGUUAAUGACUUUGGAAGUGAAAUGAAUGAAUUGGCUAAAUAUGUUUGUUUGGUUAGGAUGUGUUUUAUACUAAGAUAUAGUAUACAUGUGAAUUUGCUUAUUAUGCUUAGUUUUGAUCUAAUAAGUUCUUAGCUAUGAUACCUAAUGAGUAUAGUUUUGAUAAUUUGGUGAUGGUAACUUUGGUUGUGUAAGUGGUUUGAAAUAACAUGAUUCGGUAUUACAGAUUGGCUGAUCAUGUCCGAAUAUGAUAUACCUUUGUCUUAAUAUGUUUAUUAUUAUGAUAUAGGAAAAUUCAUGUUACUAAUAUAUUUAUAUAAAUUAUUUAAAUGACUAUGAUUGUAGAAAUGAUAUUCGGUUAUGAGAUGGGAGAUAUGAAUAUUAUUUUUGAGCUACCUAGGGUUUGGCAUUUGUGAUUAUACAUGUAAUGAAGUGGUUUGAUGUAUUAUUUGAAUUAAAUGUUUAUAAGAUAAAACGAUUUAGAAUAUAGGGAUUGGGAGUUUGGUUGUAGUUUAUAUUCAUUGACAAGUAUGAACUAUAUAUAUGUAUAUAUAUAUUUAGUCAUAUGUAUUUGGUUACUAUGAUAAAACAUUCAUUUAAGUCAUAAAGGUUAGUUUUAUAAAUGAACUAUUACAUGGUAUUAGCAUGCAUAAAUGUUCGGCAAAAUUAUGUGACUUAUGUGGUUGUUUUCUUUGAAAUUAGAUAUUCGAUACUAAUUGGGUUAGUCAUUCUGCAAAUAUUUAUUAAGAUAUUUGUUUGUAUAAUGUGUUGACAUGUGAAUUUAAGUAUAAAUUCAAUUGAUAUUAGAUAAUAAAAUGAUGCUUGAGUUUGGGUUGAGUAAUGAUAUCAUUAGCAGUUAAUUUGGAAAGUCAGUGUAUACUCAUGUAUUUAUAAUAGUUGAAUAAUCAUUUAAGUUUAUAUCAUAUCCUUGUUAAAGUCUGUAAAUGCUUUAAUAUUUGAAUGUUAUAAUUCAUUUUAUUUCAUGUGAAUGAUAUGACUGUAUGUAUAUGUAUGAUAUGAAAUGCUUCAAAUUUAAGUGCUAUGUUAGUUCAUGAAAUAAAUUUUGACUGAUUCUCGAGACUCGUUCAUGUGUAUAUAUCAAUAUUUGGAAUUGUGCUUUUGAUAGGUAAUGCCUCAUAAUCUUAAUUCGGCGACAGAUACGGGUUAGGGGUGUUACAUCGUGAGUUUCGAAAACUUGUCAAUGAAGUCAUUAACUGACUUCGAGUUAGCAAAAGACCUUUUUUAAGCUCGUACAAAACUCUAAAAUGAUUAUAAAACAUAUAGAAAAUGUGUUUUAUACUUUUAAGAAUGUUGGAAUGGUUAAAUCGUAUAAGAAUUAGUUGUAGUUGCUUCGACAACAAAUGUGGCAUUUUGUAGCUCAAAUCCAAAAAUCAGGUUGGGUAAAGUUGUUACAAGGAGGAGAAAGAAAGAAUAGAAAAAAAUAAGGAGAAUUAAAGAAAAAAGAAGGAAGAAAUGGGAAAGAAAAAAAUUUAAAUUGCUUAUGUAGCAAUGUCAUGUGGGAAACAAAUGUGGCAUGCUGAUGUAGCAAUGUCACAUCGAUAAUGUUUGGCCAAUUUGUAACACCCAUUAGCUGGGUUAAUUUGAUAACCCGAGCAAAGGAUGUUAUAUUUGGACUCCGAGUCAAUUUAAUUCAAAUUUCAUUUAUAUACUUUAUCAUUGUCAUUUUAAACUCUUUUAAGGUAUCUCAAGUCAUUUCUGGGCAUCCAUUACAGUUUGGUUGCGAUUUGAGGUCGUUCGGGCCUUUUUUGAGUCAAAUUGAACAUGCACGGGGUAAAACAUGGCACUUGUAUUGCUACUCACUAUUCCAAGAAUCAGUACAUUUUCUCUAUAACUAAUCAUUUUUGCUCUCUAGAGUACUUGUAUCGAUAACAAGUACCAAUACUUCAAUUGCAGAGGACUCUAAAUCAUGCCUAAAAGACUUUUGUUUCAUGUCGAUUUAAAUACCAAACAUUCUCAAACAUAUAUCAAUCAUUUUAAACCAUCAAACGCUUUAAAAUAUCAUAUAAUUCAUCAUAUGCUCAUUGCAUAAUUUAAAUGAUUUCACUAGGCUAUCAAAACAUUUAAGUUUCUCUAAAUACUUUCACUCGCAUUUAUUGUAAUAGCCCAUUACCCAUCCCAAUCGUUGGGUUCGAGUUCAAGGUGUCACAUUCGUUUUCAAAAUAAUUAUGAUC